AUACGUAGGGGGCGAGCGUUGUCCGGAAUGAUUGGGCGUAAAGGGCGCGUAGGCGGCCCGGUAAGUCUGGAGUGAAAGUCCUGUUUUUAAGAUGGGAAUUGCUUUGGAUACUGUCGGGCUUGAGUGCAGGAGAGGUAAGUUGAAUUCCCAGUGUAGCGGUGAAAUGCGUAGAGAUUGGGAGGAACACCAGUGGCGAAGGCGACUUACUGGACUGUAACUGACGCUGAGGCGCGAAAGUGUGGGGAGCAAACAGGAUUAGAUACCCUGGUAGUCCACACUGUAAACGAUGAAUGCUAGGUGUAGGGGGUAUCGACCCCUUCUGUGCCGCAGUCAACACAAUAAGCAUUCCGCCUGGGGAGUACGGCCGCAAGGUUGAAACUCAAAUGAAUUGACGGGG
Molecule: ribosomal RNA, 397 nt
Filed under: uncultured bacterium
Lineage: Bacteria
Description: partial 16S ribosomal RNA
Rfam family: Bacterial small subunit ribosomal RNA
Source: RNAcentral